UUAGGAAUCUUGCGCAAUGGGCGAAAGCCUGACGCAGCGAUGCCGCGUGCGGGAUGAAGGCCUUCGGGUCGUAAACCGCUUUCAGCAGGGACGAUUAUGACGGUACCUGCAGAAGAAGCCCCGGCCAACUACGUGCCAGCAGCCGCGGUAAUACGUAGGGGGCGAGCGUUGUCCGGAUUUAUUGGGCGUAAAGAGCUCGUAGGCGGUUUGGUAAGUCGGGUGUGAAAUCUCCACGCUCAACGUGGAGGGGCCACUCGAUACUGCCAUGACUCGAGUCCGGUAGAGGAGUGUGGAAUUCCCGGUGUAGCGGUGAAAUGCGCAGAUAUCGGGAGGAACACCCGUAGCGAAGGCGGCACUCUGGGCCGGAACUGACGCUGAGGAGCGAAAGCGUGGGGAGCAAACAG
Molecule: ribosomal RNA, 404 nt
Filed under: uncultured bacterium
Lineage: Bacteria
Description: bacterial SSU rRNA
Rfam family: Bacterial small subunit ribosomal RNA
Source: RNAcentral